CUACAAUAGCCAUUCUCCAGGGCUCCUCUGUCUGUUGGUCUGUGUAUCUGUCUGUCACACCAUUGAAACCUCACCUUGCUCUCGUGCAGCCAUGUCUGAUGUAGAGGAGGAAUAUGAGGGGGAGCAGGCGGAAGGUGAGUGGGUUGCUGAGCUGAGGUGUUAGUGUUGUUAUUGUUGGGCCAUACUUGGCCUUGCAUGUGGAAGUCUAUGACCCUGUUAUUAUUAACCAUUUCUCUCAGCUCCUAUUGCUUUCAGCAUACUGCUGAUAAAUGGUUUUUAAAGCCUCAAUCCCUCUAUUAGCCACACACUCUCCAUCUCACUUUUCACUCUCCAUCUCGCUCCAUUCCUUUAAUCGUCUAUCUCUUUAAUCAUCAUUCUAAUGUCUCUUUCCAUCCCAUUGUCAUCUAUCUAUUU
This is a long non-coding RNA of Oncorhynchus tshawytscha (Chinook salmon), 414 nucleotides long. NCBI's taxonomy places the organism in Eukaryota, Metazoa, Chordata, Actinopteri, Salmoniformes, Salmonidae. The record is from Ensembl.